GAUGAACGCUGGCGGCGUGCCUAAUACAUGCAAGUCGAGCGAACGGACGCGAAGCUUGCUUCUCUGAUGUUAGCGGCGGACGGGUGAGUAACACGUGGAUAACCUACCUAUAAGACUGGGAUAACUUCGGGAAACCGGCGCUAAUACCGGAUGAUCUUUUGAACCGCAUGGUUCAAAAGUGAAAGACGGUCUUGCUGUCACUUAUAGAUGGAUCCGCGCUGCAUUAGCUAGUUGGUAAGGUAACGGCUUACCAAGGCGACGAUGCAUAGCCGACCUGAGAGGGUGAUCGGCCACACUGGAACUGAGACACGGUCCAGACUACUACGGGAGGCAGCAGUAGGGAAUCUUCCGCAAUGGGCGAAAGCCUGACGGAGCAACGCCGCGUGAGUGAUGAAGGUCUUCGGAUCGUAAAGCUCUGUUAUUAGGGAAGAACAUAUGUGUAAGGAACUGUGCACAGCUUGACGGUACCUAAUCAGAAAGCCACGGCUAACUACGUG
This 497-nucleotide ribosomal RNA is filed under the name uncultured bacterium. RNAcentral's name for it is "partial 16S ribosomal RNA". It matches the Rfam family "Bacterial small subunit ribosomal RNA", at positions 28 to 507 of the family's 1533-position model. The record is from RNAcentral.